Molecule: ribosomal RNA, 230 nt
Filed under: uncultured bacterium
Lineage: Bacteria
Description: partial 16S ribosomal RNA
Rfam family: Bacterial small subunit ribosomal RNA
Source: RNAcentral
GAUCCUGGCUCAGGACGAACGCUGGCGACGCGCCUAACACAUGCAAGUCGAACGAGCGAGAGAGAGCUUGCCUUCUCGAGCGAGUGGCGAACGGGUGAGUAACGCGUGAGGAACCUGCCUCAAAGAGGGGGACAACAGUUGGAAACGACUGCUAAUACCGCAUAAGCCCACAGCUCGGCAUCGAGCAGAGGGAAAAGGAGCAAUCCGCUUUGAGAUGGCCUCGCGUCCGA